Molecule: long non-coding RNA, 94 nt
Organism: Telopea speciosissima
Lineage: Eukaryota; Viridiplantae; Streptophyta; Magnoliopsida; Proteales; Proteaceae
Exons: 3
Source: RefSeq, a predicted model, not a curated record
GUAACAUAUCAGGAAGACCUUCAUUGUAGAGAGAUACUAUUUGAUUUACAUCCUCAGCACAUCCACUUGUAAGGUGAAACAGGGGUAAUACUGU